ACUCCUACGGGAGGCAGCAGUGGAGAAUCUUGCACAAUGGGCGAAAGCCUGAUGCAGCCACGCCGCGUGAGGGACGAAUGUCUUCGGAUUGUAAACCUCUUUCAGUCGUGAAGAAGCGCAAGUGACGGUAGCGACAGAAGAAGCUCCGGCUAACUACGUGCCAGCAGCCGCGGUAAUACGUAGGGGGCAAGCGUUGUCCGGAAUUAUUGGGCGUAAAGGGCGCGUAGGCGGUCCACUAAGUCGGAUGUGAAAUCCAGGGGCUCAACCCCCGAACUGCACCCGAUACUGGUGGACUUGAGGUAGGUAGAGGAGAGUGGAAUUUCUGGUGUAGCGGUGGAAUGCGCAGAUAUCAGAAGGAACACCGAUGGCGAAGGCAGCUCUCUGGGCCUUACCUGACGCUGAGGCGCGAAAGCAUGGGUAGCAAACAGGAUUAGAUACCCUGGUAGUCCAUGCCGUAAACGAUGGGUGCUAGGUGUGGGGAUCAGUUCACGAUCUCCGCGUCGAAGCUAACGCGUUAAGCACCCCGCCUGGGGACUACGGCCGCAAGGCUAAAACUCAAAGGAAUUGACGGGGGCCCGCACAAGCGGCGGAGCAUGUGGCUUAAUUCGAAGCAACGCGAAGAACCUUACCUGGGCUUGAAAUAUAGCUUACAACACCAGAGAUGGUGCGGAUUCGUUCGUGCUAUACAGGUGCUGCAUGGCUGUC
Molecule: ribosomal RNA, 705 nt
Filed under: uncultured bacterium
Lineage: Bacteria
Description: bacterial SSU rRNA
Rfam family: Bacterial small subunit ribosomal RNA
Source: RNAcentral